ACACGGGGGGGGCUAGCGUUGUUCGGAAUCACUGGGCGUAAAGGGUCCGUAGGCGGCCGCGUAAGUCGGAGGUGAAAGCCCUGGGCUUAACCCAGGAAUUGCCUUCGAAACUGCAUGGCUAGAGUCCGGUAGAGGGAGACGGAAUUCCCGGUGUAGCGGUGAAAUGCGUAGAUAUCGGGAGGAACAUCUGUGGCGAAGGCGGUCUCCUGGGCCGGUACUGACGCUGAGGGACGAAAGCGUGGGGAGCAAACAGGAUUAGAAACCCCAGUAGUCC
RNAcentral lists this ribosomal RNA (274 nucleotides) under uncultured bacterium. Its description in RNAcentral is "partial 16S ribosomal RNA". It matches the Rfam family "Bacterial small subunit ribosomal RNA", at positions 523 to 796 of the family's 1533-position model. The record is from RNAcentral.